GACAGAGGAUGCAAGCGUUAUCCGGAAUGAUUGGGCGUAAAGCGUCUGUAGGUGGCUUUUUAAGUCUGCCGUCAAAUCCCAGGGCUUAACCUUGGACAGGCGGUGGAAACUACCAAGCUGGAGUACGGUAGGGGCAGAGGGAAUUUCCGGUGGAGCGGUGAAAUGCGUAGAGAUCGGAAAGAACACCAACGGCGAAGGCACUCUGCUGGGCCGACACUGACACUGAGAGACGAAAGCUAGGGGAGCAAACAGG
This 253-nucleotide ribosomal RNA is filed under the name uncultured bacterium. RNAcentral describes it as "partial 16S ribosomal RNA". It matches the Rfam family "Bacterial small subunit ribosomal RNA", at positions 524 to 776 of the family's 1533-position model. The record is from RNAcentral.